RNAcentral lists this ribosomal RNA (447 nucleotides) under uncultured bacterium. Its description in RNAcentral is "bacterial SSU rRNA". It matches the Rfam family "Bacterial small subunit ribosomal RNA", at positions 14 to 507 of the family's 1533-position model. The record is from RNAcentral.
UGAUCAUGGCUCAGAACGAACGCUGGCGGCAGGCCUAACACAUGCAAGUCGAGCGAGGUAGCAAUACCUAGCGGCGGACGGGUGAGUAACGCGUGGGAACGUACCCUUUGCUACGGAAUAGCCCCGGGAAACUGGGAGUAAUACCGUAUGUGCCCUUCGGGGGAAAGAUUUAUCGGCAAAGGAUCGGCCCGCGUUGGAUUAGGUAGUUGGUGGGGUAAUGGCCUACCAAGCCGACGAUCCAUAGCUGGUUUGAGAGGAUGAUCAGCCACACUGGGACUGAGACACGGCCCAGACUCCUACGGGAGGCAGCAGUGGGGAAUCUUAGACAAUGGGCGCAAGCCUGAUCUAGCCAUGCCGCGUGAGUGAUGAAGGCCUUAGGGUUGUAAAGCUCUUUCAGAUGGGAAGAUAAUGACGGUACCAUCAGAAGAAGCCCCGGCUAACUCCGUG